RNAcentral lists this ribosomal RNA (112 nucleotides) under Pteropus alecto (black flying fox). Lineage: Eukaryota; Metazoa; Chordata; Mammalia; Chiroptera; Pteropodidae. The record is from RNAcentral.
GUCUACAGCCAUGCCACCCUUCUGAUCCCGUCUGAUCUCAGAAGCUAAGCAGAGUCGGGCCUGGUUAGUACUUGGAUGGGAGACCACCUAGGAAGACCAGGUGCGGUAAGUG